GCAUAAUCAUUUGCCUCUUAAUUAGAGGCUAGCAUGAAUGGAUAAACGAGAUUAUAGCUGUCUCCUUUACACCUAUAAAAAUUAAUCUACAGGUGAAGAAACCUGUAUUCAUAUAAAAGACAAGAAGACCCUGUCGAGCUUUAAUUAUUUUAUAAGAUAUCCUAACACACUCCCAAAUUCCCUCCCUUAUAAAUAAUUUUUGUUGGGGCGACAAUGGAGAAUACAAAACCUCCGCCACACCUAAAACACCAAGUUUCCUCAAAGAUCCUUUAAUAGAUAACAGGCAUCAGCUACCGCAGGGAUAACAGACUAAUCUUCCUUAAGAGCCCAAAUCUACAGGAAGGCUUGG
This 349-nucleotide ribosomal RNA is filed under the name Palola environmental sample. Its description in RNAcentral is "partial 16S ribosomal RNA". It matches the Rfam family "Bacterial large subunit ribosomal RNA", at positions 1959 to 2521 of the family's 2925-position model. The record is from RNAcentral. Lineage: Eukaryota; Metazoa; Annelida; Polychaeta; Eunicida; Eunicidae.